This 570-nucleotide ribosomal RNA is filed under the name uncultured bacterium. RNAcentral's name for it is "bacterial SSU rRNA". It matches the Rfam family "Bacterial small subunit ribosomal RNA", at positions 8 to 573 of the family's 1533-position model. The record is from RNAcentral.
AGAGUUUGAUCAUGGCUCAGAUUGAACGCUGGCGGCAGGCCUAACACAUGCAAGUCGAGCGGUAGAGAGGUGCUUGCACCUCUUGAGAGCGGCGGACGGGUGAGUAAAGCCUAGGAAUCUGCCUGGUAGUGGGGGAUAACGCUCGGAAACGGACGCUAAUACCGCAUACGUCCUACGGGAGAAAGCAGGGGACCUUCGGGCCUUGCGCUAUCAGAUGAGCCUAGGUCGGAUUAGCUAGUUGGUGAGGUAAUGGCUCACCAAGGCGACGAUCCGUAACUGGUCUGAGAGGAUGAUCAGUCACACUGGAACUGAGACACGGUCCAGACUCCUACGGGAGGCAGCAGUGGGGAAUAUUGGACAAUGGGCGAAAGCCUGAUCCAGCCAUGCCGCGUGUGUGAAGAACGUCUUCGGAUUGUAAAGCACUUUAAGUUGGGAGGAAGGGCAUUAACCUAGUACGUUAGUGUUUUGACGUUACCGACAGAAUAAGCACCGGCUAACUCUGUGCCAGCAGCCGCGGUAAUACAGAGGGUGCAAGCGUUAAUCGGAAUUACUGGGCGUAAAGCGCGCGUA